GGAGAGGGUAUAGCUCAGUGGCAGAGAGCAUGUUUACCAUGCAUGAGGUCCUGGGUUCAAUCCCCAGUACCUCCA
Molecule: transfer RNA, 75 nt
Filed under: Vicugna pacos (alpaca)
Lineage: Eukaryota; Metazoa; Chordata; Mammalia; Artiodactyla; Camelidae
Description: tRNA-Gly (ACC) (tRNA-Gly-ACC-28-1)
Rfam family: tRNA
About the family: Transfer RNA (tRNA) molecules are approximately 80 nucleotides in length. Their secondary structure includes four short double-helical elements and three loops (D, anti-codon, and T loops).
Source: RNAcentral